UUUAAAAGCAACUGUAUUUGUCAGAGUCCAGUCAGGGUAACUGAAACUACUCUAAGUCUUUUAACAGAAAGAAUUUAAUAUAAGAAACUGGUUUCAUCAGUGACAGAAGAAACCUAGAGACCAAACAGGUGAUGUUGAAGCCACCAGAGAUCAGCAACAACAGACAGCUGCUACCCCUCUUAGGAAUCAAGAGACAACAGGAGGCAGUGGUGUGACCACGGCCAGGAGCUGGCGAUGUCAGGCUGGAACUGAAACCAGAGAAGGGCUAAGUGGCCAGAACUGGGACCUGAGAGUGGCUGGGAGCUGGAAUCACAGAGAAGAUGCAGCUGCUGCUAUAGUGAAAGAGAGAAAUGACAUGGCUUCUCUUCUUCCUGCAUGUCCUUCUCCCACCAGUAUCUCCUGCUGGCCAAACCUACCCAGAGGCCAGGUGCAAGGAAGCCUUGGAAAUGGAAAAUACAGCAGAGCAGGGGCUGGGGGGUAUGCUCUCUGAGAGCAAACAGGCAAAGGACCAGCCAUGCCAUCAUCCAAUAACAUACCAAAACUGCCGAGAUCAGUGUGAGCAGCUGCAUCCCGCCAUGUCCAAGGGUAAUGUAAUGCUCUCUGGCCUGAUCCUGUCAUAUGUGAGCUUGUUUUGACGAACCUUGGCUUACAGAAGGAAACAGCCAUCCUCAUCAACUAUUUGAAUCCAGGCCCACACACAUGCCUUUCCCAGGUCUAGUCCACUGUCUUCUGUCAGCCCAGCUAGCUCAGCCCACCCUAGCUCAGCAGCGGAGGAGAUCAGAAAAUGCAUCCUGGCAUCACAGGAAGGACCGGAGUAAAAGGUUUAAAAAGAGAUGGAAACAGACAAGAGCCACUUGGAAACAAAUUGACUUCACCUCGGACCUGGCAGGCUAGGACGGCAAAGGCCUUGUGA
Non-coding RNA from Microcebus murinus (gray mouse lemur), 913 nucleotides. NCBI's taxonomy places the organism in Eukaryota, Metazoa, Chordata, Mammalia, Primates, Cheirogaleidae. The record is from RefSeq and is a predicted model, not a curated record.